This 465-nucleotide ribosomal RNA is filed under the name uncultured Klebsiella sp. Its description in RNAcentral is "bacterial SSU rRNA". It matches the Rfam family "Bacterial small subunit ribosomal RNA", at positions 338 to 795 of the family's 1533-position model. The record is from RNAcentral. Lineage: Bacteria; Pseudomonadati; Pseudomonadota; Gammaproteobacteria; Enterobacterales; Enterobacteriaceae.
CCUACGGGUGGCUGCAGUGGGGAAUAUUGCACAAUGGGCGCAAGCCUGAUGCAGCCAUGCCGCGUGUGUGAAGAAGGCCUUCGGGUUGUAAAGCACUUUCAGCGGGGAGGAAGGCGGUGAGGUUAAUAACCUCAUCGAUUGACGUUACCCGCAGAAGAAGCACCGGCUAACUCCGUGCCAGCAGCCGCGGUAAUACGGAGGGUGCAAGCGUUAAUCGGAAUUACUGGGCGUAAAGCGCACGCAGGCGGUCUGUCAAGUCGGAUGUGAAAUCCCCGGGCUCAACCUGGGAACUGCAUUCGAAACUGGCAGGCUAGAGUCUUGUAGAGGGGGGUAGAAUUCCAGGUGUAGCGGUGAAAUGCGUAGAGAUCUGGAGGAAUACCGGUGGCGAAGGCGACCCCCUGGACAAAGACUGACGCUCAGGUGCGAAAGCGUGGGGAGCGAACAGGAUUAGAUACCCGUGUAGUC